RNAcentral lists this long non-coding RNA (1837 nucleotides) under Gallus gallus (chicken). Its description in RNAcentral is "lncRNA (ENSGALG00010003231.1)". Lineage: Eukaryota; Metazoa; Chordata; Aves; Galliformes; Phasianidae. The record is from RNAcentral.
GGAACUGGGAUUGUUCAGUCUGGAGAAGAAGAGGCUCAGGGGAGACCUUAUUGCUGUCUACAGACUGAAGUCUCACCAUCCCCAGAGGUGUUCAAGAAGAGUGAGGAUGUGGCACUGAGGAACGUGGUUAGUGGGCAUGGUGGUGGUGGUGGUUUGAUGGUUGGACUAGAUGAUUUCAGAGGUCUUUUCCAACCUCAGUGAUUCUAUGAUUCUAUUGCACGGACAUAAUCACGUAGCAUUUAAAUACAGUUUCUUGCUCCAGAAGAAGAGAGCAGGCUGGGUCUUAACAUUUUUAAUAGACAUGGAUUUGAUAGGUUUAUUUCAUUAAUCAGAUGGUUCAGAACACGUAAACAGCGCAUUUAGAAAAAGUUACACUUUUCUACACUUUUCUGCACAAAUCUGAAUGUGAACUUUGGUUAUGAAAAACAAACAAAACCUCUUUGCUCCUAGCUUCAAAAACACACACAGCUUCUGGUGCUGCGAGUGUGUUGCAGAAGUCAGUGGGUCUCAUGUGUGUGGGUUAGUCUAGUGGGAAUAAUAGGUUUGACUUAGUGAUCCCACUCUUGCUUAGGGAAAACAGGAGGUCAGUGGAUGGUCAAAAUCCAGUUUCUUUGCGAACACUGAACUCGGUCUAAACACCUAUGAUAUCUUGCAACAGAAGAGCGAUAUUAGGUUGGCAAACACAAACAUCUUUAUUGACUAUAUUAGGGAAUACACAGAAUGCCCGGGAGAAAGAAAGACAGUGCUGAACUUCCACAGCUUGUCAGGCACAGUUCAGUUCUCAUCACCAUCUCACACCACUAUUUCCACUCCUCCCCCGUUUGAUCUAGUUCAAAUAUCCAGCCGGUGUUUGUGCACUGAGAAGUUACUGAGAACCCUUAAAAAGCCUAACUAGUCACAACUUGAGAAGGAUAUUCCCAGCUAUCUGAGAAAAACAUAAUGCAAAGAACAACAGAUUAUUUGGAUUAAAAAGAAAAAAAAAAAGAAAAAGAGCAGAAGAUUUGAAAACAAGGAGCAUUAUAAGCAUCAGUUCCUCAUUGUCCUGAGGAAAGGGGCCCUGUGGUUGUAGGCAGGAAAUAGCUGCAGUCUUCUUAGGGCUUUGCUUUCCAAGAUAACACUUGGCAGUGUUGAAGAAGAAUUCCUUUCUCAUUAAAUACCAGAUCUGAACUUCAUCCCUUACCUGACUGCAUGCUUUUGCAUGUUCACGUUUCAAAUGCUCAAACCUACUUGACAACAGCAAACCACGAUAGGCUUCUCACAUUCAGAUUUACUGCAGAGCUUCCUUCCCUUCCUGAGUGCUGGGUGAACUGGAGCAAGAAGGGCGGCUUGCCCUCUUUCAGAGCAAGUAGAGGAACUGUGCUAUCUUGUCAGGAAGUUCCUGCUGCGCAUAUACAAUAGAAAAGUUACACUCUGAAGCACGGAACAGGUGUAGGCUUCAGCCCAACUUCACGACUGGAAAGGAUCAAGAAUGACUGCUAUCUAAAACACUUUACCAUCAGUCACUUUACCACCUCACUGCUGACCAGAGUGGGCAAAAAGUACAGACAAAAUGGAGCUGUUCUGUUGACUGGAAACACUGCUUGCAGCUGUCUGGAGGGAAAGCACACAAGAAGAACAGCCUAUGAUAGGUUUUGCCUCCAUUGACCAGAAGUGCGACAGCCGAAGCUGCAGGGGAUGCUGGUGGCAAGGACACAGCGACAUAAGGAUUGUGAGUCCAGUUCCCAGCACCAUUCAUCUUUUCACUAAUUCCUGCUACCUUCUUAAUGAUUCUGAGCUCUCUCACAAAGUAAGAGCUAUUUUACAGGCCACUGCACUCACACAAUUAAAGCUCCUUUUC